UGCCAGCAGUCGCGGUUAAACCAAGAAAUUUAGUCAUUUUUUUACGGUAAAAAGACAGUUAGGCAGAGAUAUUAAAUCAUAAGACCGUUAGUAAAGGGGUAAAAUCUAAAUACUAAAAGUUAUACAAAAUAUGGUUAAUUGCGCUCGCUGAGGCUGUGACAGCUUUAAGGGAAACUGGGAUUGGAUACCCCAUUAUUUUUAGUUGUAAAUUUAGUUUAGCUUACCAGAGCACUACGAAUAAAAAGUUUAAAACUCAAAGGGCUUGGCGGUGCUUUAGACCUCUCAGGGGAACCUGUCUCAUAAUCGACAAUCCACGUUAGACCUGACUCUUUAUAGCAAUUCAGCUUGUAUACCGUCGUCGUCAGGUAACUUUUAAAAAUGAAAUAGUUAGCUAGACAAUUGUAUUAAUUAAAACGUCAGAUCAAGGUGCAGCUAAUGAAAGGGGGAGGAUGGGUUACAAUUACAAAUUUGUAAUUACGGAUAAAUGUUCUAAAAGCAUUUUUAAGGAGGACUUGAAAGUAAUCUCAAUUAUAUAAAUGGGAUGAAUAUGGCUCUGAAGCGUGCACACAUCGCCCGUCACUCU
This 583-nucleotide ribosomal RNA is filed under the name Conus distans. RNAcentral describes it as "partial 12S ribosomal RNA". It matches the Rfam family "Microsporidia small subunit ribosomal RNA", at positions 391 to 1205 of the family's 1311-position model. The record is from RNAcentral. Lineage: Eukaryota; Metazoa; Mollusca; Gastropoda; Neogastropoda; Conidae.